This 274-nucleotide ribosomal RNA is filed under the name uncultured bacterium. Its description in RNAcentral is "partial 16S ribosomal RNA". It matches the Rfam family "Bacterial small subunit ribosomal RNA", at positions 523 to 796 of the family's 1533-position model. The record is from RNAcentral.
AUACGGAGGGUGCAAGCGUUAAUCGGAAUUACUGGGCGUAAAGCGCGCGUAGGCGGUUUAGUCAGUCAGAUGGGAAAGCCCCGGGCUCAACCUGGGAACUGCAUUUGAUACUGCUGAACUAGAGUAUGGUAGAGGGAAGUGGAAUUCCGGGUGUAGCGGUGAAAUGCGUAGAUAUACGGAGGAACACCAGUGGCGAAGGCGACUUCCUGGACCAAUACUGACGCUGAGGUGCGAAAGCGUGGGUAGCAAACAGGAUUAGAAACCCCAGUAGUCC